This is a long non-coding RNA of Ornithodoros turicata, 730 nucleotides long. RefSeq lists it as uncharacterized. The transcript has 3 exons. Lineage: Eukaryota; Metazoa; Arthropoda; Arachnida; Ixodida; Argasidae. The record is from RefSeq and is a predicted model, not a curated record.
AGCGCCUCAGCUCGUGAGCUCGUGGGUGUCCCAGCGUUCAAAGCCAGUUUCCAAUCCAGUGGGACAAAGGGUCAACUUCUCGACCUCAUGAAGCGAAUUGUCACCGAGCACGGAAGCCGGCAGAUGGGAACCCUCCAAGAUGGCGGCGUCUGAUAAGGGCACUCGACGGCCGCUGCGCGUCGCCCUUGUCGCCGCACGCCAUUGGUGGAGCGGAUAUGCAUGCGCGCAUAUUAAGUGGCGCUAAGUACACGGUCGCCCUUCAAUGGAGGGACGAGGUUCGUCAACAAUGGCACACGGAGGAAACCUUAAAGACUGUCCGACAACAACCAGAGCUCCACCAUCACAAGAGAUGAACGUUCACAGAAGCAGUGUCACCCGUAAGGUGCAGGGCCACAGACCAUAUAUUUGUGAAGCGCAAUACGAAAGCAUCAGACAGCACUGACCACCAGCUAAUCGCCUUCCGUAUCGACACUGGAAGGCGAACAGAGUUCACAUGAAAGGACAGGCUCUCCUGGAUGUUUUCCCUGGGCUCUCCUUAGACUCUCUAAAGUAAAUGUCGACACCCUUCCCCGUGAAGUAGAUCCUGCACGCACGAUCUCCCAGGAGCAACCUGCGCGACUGGAAAAUCUCUCGGCUUUGAAACUGUGCAAUAUACGCAGUAUCAACUCUGCAACCAAUCAGAUUGACCCAACGAACUGUCUUCGAUCGAACAACACGCAUCAGCAGCCGA